RNAcentral lists this ribosomal RNA (2029 nucleotides) under human gut metagenome. RNAcentral's name for it is "bacterial LSU rRNA". It matches the Rfam family "Bacterial large subunit ribosomal RNA", at positions 502 to 2545 of the family's 2925-position model. The record is from RNAcentral.
CGUGAGGGAAAGGUGAAAAGGACCCCGGGAGGGGAGUGAAAGAGAACCUGAAACCGUGGACCUGCAAGCGGUCAGAGCCCGAGAGGGUGAUGGCGUGCCUUUUGUAGAAUGAGCCUGCGAGUCUUCGUAUGCAGCGAGGUUAAGGCAUAGGAGUGCCGGAGCCGAAGGGAAACCGAGUCCGAAAUGGGCGUACAGUUGCAUGCGGAGGACCCGAAGCCAAGUGAUCUAUCCAUGGCCAGGCUGAAGCUGGAGUAGAAUCCAGUGGAGGGCCGAACCUAAAUCCGCUGAAAAGGGUUGGGAUGAGCUGUGGAUCGGAGCGAAAGACUAAACAAACUUGGAGAUAGCUGGUACUCCCCGAAAUAGCUUUAGGGCUAGCCUUGCGUGGACAGUCAUGGAGGUAGAGCACUGAAUGGAUGAGGGCCCUUCACCGGGUACCGAUUUCAAUCAAACUCCGAAUGCCAUGACCCAAUGCGCAGGAGUCAGACGGCGACUGAUAAGGGCCGUCGUCGAAAGGGAAACAGCCCAGACCGCCGGCCAAGGUCCCCAAUGUGUGCCAAGUGGGAAAGGAAGUCCGAUUGCGAAGACAGCCAGGAGGUUGGCUCAGAAGCAGCCACACCUUCAAAGAGUGCGUAACAGCUCACUGGUCGAGUAGCCGGGCGCCGACAAUUCAACGGGGCUAAGCACACAACCGAAGCCGCGGCUCAGUACUUUGUACUGGGGGUAGGGGAGCAUUCCAUGUACGGACGAAGGUGCGCCGCAAGGCGAGCUGGACGGGAUGGAAGAGAGAAUGCAGGCAUGAGUAACGAAAAGAUGGGUGGGAUCCCCAUCCGCCGAAAGCCUAAGGUUUCCAGGGUAAAGGUAAUCUACCCAAGGGUUAGUCGGCCCCUAAGGCGAGGACGAAGGUCGUAGCCGAUGGGAAACGGGUCAACAUUCCCGUACCUCUCAACGAAUCGAUGGGACGAAGCAUAGGGCGAAGCGCAGCGGGGCGACGGUUGUCCCCGUCCAAGCGUCCGAGCGGAGGAGGCCUCCAGGCAAAUCCGGAGGCUGACGCGAGGCGCGAACGCGAGCGGACCUACGGGCGAGCGAAGUGCGUGACGUCGUCGUGCCGGGAAACAGUCUCUAAGGUGCGUCGUUGAGGGACCGUACUACAAACCGACACAGGUGGGCGAGCUGAGAAUGCGAAGGCGUACGGAAGAACUUGCGUUAAGGAACUCGGCAAAAUGCAUACGUAACUUCGGGAUAAGUAUGGCCGCGAGAGCGGCUGCAGAGAAACGGCCCAUGCGACUGUUUACCAAAAACACAGGUCCAUGCGAACCAGCAAUGGGAAGUAUAUGGACUGACACCUGCCCGGUGCUGGAAGGUUAAGGGGAGUCGUCAGCGCAAGCGAAGCGGCGAACCGAAGCCCCAGUAAACGGCGGCCGUAACUAUAACGGUCCUAAGGUAGCGAAAUUCCUUGUCGGGUAAGUUCCGACCCGCACGAAUGGUGUAACGAUAUGGGCGCUGUCUCAACGCAAGAUCCGGUGAAAUUGAAGUCCAGGUGAAGAUGCCUGGUACCUGUGGUUAGACGGAAAGACCCCGUGAACCUUUACUUCAACUUAGCAUUGAUGACUGAUCCGUCUUGUGUAGGAUAGGUGGGAGCCGGAGAUCCGUGGCCGUCAGGCUGCGGGGAGGCGACGGUGAAAUACCACCCUGGACGGUUCAGUCCUCUAACCCUCGCCGUGAUCCGGUGCGGGGACAAUGCUAGGCGGGAAGUUUGACUGGGGCGGUCGCCUCCCAAAGGGUAACGGAGGCGCGCGAAGGUCACCUUAGUCUGGUUGGGAAUCAGACGUCAAGUGCAAAGGCACAAGGUGGCUUGACUGCGAGGCUCACAGGCCGAGCAGGUACGAAAGUAGGUCUUAGUGAUCUGGCGGUGGCAAGUGGAAGCGCCGUCACUUAACGGAUAAAAGGUACUCCGGGGAUAACAGGCUGAUCUUGCCCAAGAGUUCACAUCGACGGGGAGGUUUGGCACCUCGAUGUCGGCUCAUCGCAU